UGGGGAAUAUUGCACAAUGGAGGGAACUCUGAUGCAGCGACGCCGCGUGAACGAAGAACGCUCUCGAGUCGUAAAGUUCUUUUAUAUGGGCAGAUAAUGACGGUACCAUAAGAAAAAGACCCGGCUAACUACGUGCCAGCAGCCGCGGUAAUACGUAGGGGGCUAGCGUUGUCCGGAAUCACUGGGCGUAAAGGGUUCGCAGGCGGAAAUGCAAGUCAGGUGUAAAAGGCAGUAGCUUAACUACUGUAAGCAUUUGAAACUGCAUAUCUUGAGAAGAGUAGAGGUAAGUGGAAUUUUUAGUGUAGCGGUGAAAUGCGUAGAUAUUAAAAAGAAUACCGGUGGCGAAGGCGACUUACUGGGCUCAUUCUGACGCUGAGGAACGAAAGCGUGGGUAGCAAACAGG
This 403-nucleotide ribosomal RNA is filed under the name bacterium. RNAcentral describes it as "partial 16S ribosomal RNA". It matches the Rfam family "Bacterial small subunit ribosomal RNA", at positions 355 to 776 of the family's 1533-position model. The record is from RNAcentral.